UUUGUAAAAAAUUAUGUUUUU
RNAcentral lists this non-coding RNA (21 nucleotides) under Caenorhabditis elegans. Lineage: Eukaryota; Metazoa; Nematoda; Chromadorea; Rhabditida; Rhabditidae. The record is from RNAcentral.